Molecule: non-coding RNA, 132 nt
Organism: Tricladium varicosporioides
Lineage: Eukaryota; Fungi; Ascomycota; Leotiomycetes; Helotiales; Tricladiaceae
Source: the annotation of a GenBank genome assembly
GGCAUCGUGGCGGAGUGGUUAACGCGACAGCCUAGAAUUGAAUUGAGGCACACAGAGUAAACUCUGAUGUAUUACAUUCUAUCCUGCAAGCUGUUCCUUUCGGGGGCGCAGGUUCGAAUCCUGCCGAUGUCG